Molecule: non-coding RNA, 31 nt
Filed under: Homo sapiens (human)
Lineage: Eukaryota; Metazoa; Chordata; Mammalia; Primates; Hominidae
Source: RNAcentral
UGCGAACUUUGCUGUUCACCACCAUGGCUGC